This 429-nucleotide ribosomal RNA is filed under the name Chloroflexota bacterium. RNAcentral describes it as "Chloroflexi bacterium partial 16S ribosomal RNA". It matches the Rfam family "Bacterial small subunit ribosomal RNA", at positions 355 to 776 of the family's 1533-position model. The record is from RNAcentral. Lineage: Bacteria; Bacillati; Chloroflexota.
UGGGGAAUAUUGCACAAUGGGCGCAAGCCUGAUGCAGCCAUGCCGCGUGUGUGAAGAAGGCCUUCGGGUUGUAAAGCACUUUCAGCGGGGAGGAAGGCGAUAAGGUUAAUAACCUUGUCGAUUGACGUUACCCGCAGAAGAAGCACCGGCUAACUCCGCGCCAGCAGCCGCGGUAAUACGGAGGGUGCAAGCGUUAAUCGGAAUUACUGGGCGUAAAGCGCACGCAGGCGGUCUGUCAAGUCGGAUGUGAAAUCCCCGGGCUCAACCUGGGAACUGCAUUCGAAACUGGCAGGCUAGAGUCUUGUAGAGGGGGGUAGAAUUCCAGGUGUAGCGGUGAAAUGCGUAGAGAUCUGGAGGAAUACCGGUGGCGAAGGCGGCCCCCUGGACAAAGACUGACGCUCAGGUGCGAAAGCGUGGGGAGCAAACAGG